Molecule: long non-coding RNA, 40973 nt
Filed under: Marmota monax (woodchuck)
Lineage: Eukaryota; Metazoa; Chordata; Mammalia; Rodentia; Sciuridae
Source: RNAcentral
GUGGGGUGGGGAGGGAGCCACAAGUACUAAUUCAUAACAGGUAGUUAGAGAAGAAAGGACUUCUGAGAAGAUGACAUUUGAACAGAGAACUGGUGAGUCAUCUGUGGUAACUGUAUUCCAGGCUGAAGAACAUCAAAGGCAAAGAAUCCGAGGGGCAGCAUGAUUGGCAUGUUCAAGAGCAGCAAGAAGACUGUUGUGGCUACAUCAAAGAGCCAGGGAGGCGCUGUAGGUGAUAACAUGGGUAUGCAGGGGAAUCAUGUUGGUCUUUAUAGACCACUGUAUGAAUUUGGCUCUCUCUCUCUCUCUCUCUCUCUCUCUCUCUCUCUCUCUCUCUCUUUUUUUCCUGAGUAAGAGGAAUUCAUUGGAGAGUCUGAGCAGAGGAGUGACAUGGUCAGGCUCACGUUUUGCCUCGUACAUGGUGGGAGGGAGAGUGUGGAGAAGAUUAUUUUGGGAAUACAAAUGGGAUAUCAUGGAGGUGUGGACCAGGAGUGGCAGUGAUAAGAACUGUCAGAUUCUGGACAUAUUCUGAGAUGAAGUUGACAUGAUUUGUGGCUGAACUGAAUGUGUAGUGUGAAAGAAAGACAGGAGUUAAAGGGGACUUCAAGGUAUUUGCCACUUGGUGCUCAGAGAAUGGACACUUACUUGGACAGUACUUCUAGAGGAAUGUGGUUUGGGAUUAUGGCAAGAAUGAGGGCAUGAGGAGGCAGGAUAUGCACAGAAGGGGGAUUUGAGUGGCUUGUUUUUCAGUGCAUAAUUAUAAACUGUUUUGGUUUGACCUACCUACUUGGUGCCUUGGGUCUGUAAUGGCAUUUGAGAAGCCUCAAAGCAAACCAAAGCAUUUCCCCUGGAAUCCUGAAGGCAGCUCUGCUUCCUCCUCCUCCAGGAUGAGAAGGAUAGAGAAGAAUAAACAUUUAAACAGCUGGCAGGCGGGCCAAGAAGUGGGAGCUCCUUUCUCUGGAAGAGUGAGGGGCAACUUCAAAUUGGCAAAAUUAUGAAGGUUGGGGAAAAAGAAUCCACAUAUUUGUUCACCAUCUUCUCAACAUCAGAAUUAAUGUGGCUGAGCUUAAAGGACAGGUGUUUAGAUAGUGAGAAGGGAUUUCUAUUUUGCACAGAAGAUAAUAAAUUUAUAGAACUAUGCACCCAAGGAUAAUAUAAAUUGAAUAUAUAAAUAUAUUUGAAAAAAGAUUUAGAAAAUUCAAGCUGAUGUAUGUAUAACAAAUUAUUAUAUAACUAGAAAUUCAGUUAUAUUUGCUCAAAAUUUACUGUGUCUACUUUGUGUAUAUUAUGAUACUAACAGUUAUAGGGGAUAUAGUAAGAAUAAAUACAGUUCCUGUGCUUGGGAGUUUAUAAUCAAUAGGAAUGACAACAUAUAUAUAAGUACAUGUAUCCAAACUUCUUUAUAGGCACUAUGUAGAUUGAUCAUUAAUGGACUCUCCCGGUUACCACAGCCUUAGCCCUGAACCUUUUCACAUCCAUCCAACUCCGACAAUUGGAUCAUCCACCUGACUUGCUUUGGCCCAUGGAAUGUUAGCAAAUGAGACACAGGUAGGGGCUUGAAAAGCACCUGCGUUUCCUCUUGCCCUCUUGCAUGAUUCAGCAUGUUCUCUUUUUUAUCUCUUCCUUAUCAUGAGAACAUGCCCAGGCUAACUUGGGGCAGAUGUGUGAGAGAUAUGUGGGGAAGAUCCAAAGUAACAGCCAGCUGACACCCAAAUAUGUGAAUCGCUCAGCCAAGAUCAGCAGAAGUGCCUGCCCAAUGCACACUGGAGCUGCAGAUGCAUUGAAUGGCUCUGGUUUCAACCAGAAGAGCUACCCAGCUGACCCCCAAACUUAUAAGGGAGAGUAAAUGACCACUGUUUUAAGCCACAGUUUCAGGAUGAUUUUUUAAUGAAGCAUCAUGGUGGCAACAGGUGACUGAUAGAAGCGCUCAAGUAUCUUUGCAAUGUGGCUCCUCCUUGCCUUCCAGCUUCUUGUCUCACCAUCCCAAUGCACUUUGUACUUCAGGCAACUGGUUCACCUGAAUUCUUGAACUGGGACGUGGUCUCCCAUGCCUUUCUAUGUGCUAUUCUCUACUUCUGAAGUGCUCUUCCUGCUGUCUCUGCCUGGACAACUGCCUUUCCUUUCAAGCCCAACUCCUCUGGAAAGUUAAGCCCCAGGCUGGUUCCGUGCUGUUUCCCUGUGCCUCUGUGAACAUCUCUAGCACAGAAUUCACACACAUUAUUUGAGUUAAGUAUGCUAAGUGUUCUCUGUUUCCCAUAUGCAGAAGCUUCUGGAAGGCAGGGACUGAGAGUUCUCUAUAUCCUGAAUACAUUGUUUGACACAAAAGAGAAUCUUCACCCACACUUGUGAACUUAUUAAGGACACUUCUUAACCUUAAUGUCACAGAGUCCUAAGUUUCAUUGAGAAAGGAAAAAUGACUGCCAGACCAGGGGAGGCUUCACAGAAGAGGCAGAAUUUGAAAUGCUCUUUAGUUUUAAUGGGUGAAGAGUAUUUGAGAUAUGGAAAAGAGCAUUUCAGCCAGAAAUAACAGCAGUAGACACUGGCAAAGUGGUACUCUAGUGGUUCAAGUGUCCAGUAUUAUUGCUGUGGAGAAUUCAUGAGCAGGUACUGUAAGAAAGAGAGCUGUUUUGUGGGACCUUUGAUAGCACAUUAAAGUAUUUGGGUUUACUUUGCAGGGGAAUGAAACCAUAAAGAACUAUAUUUUUAAGGGUUACUUUGGAAGCAGCGUAGAGGGUAUACUGCGGGUAGGAAAGGAAGAGGUUGUAUAUCUAGAAUCACCCCUUGGCUUUGGAGCAAUUCAGACAGAAGGUAAUGGUGGUAGUGGGAAUGUGUAGGGAUAUAGAAGACAUAGUAACAAAACUUGGGAGUUGAAGAAGGGAAGAUAAUUGAAGAUGGCUCUUACAUUUUUCUCCUAGUGCCUAGGAAAGGAACAGGCUAGACGGUGAAGUUGAGUUUGGACAUACUGGCUUCAAGACAUAUAUAGGUGGAGAUCUCUAAUAGGCAUGUGAAAUGUGGACCUGGAGCUCAGGUUGGAACCAGCAUAUUUGGGAAUCUUUUGUUUAUAAAGAAUCUUCAAAGAAAUGAGAACCAGGGAUAUGAGAAGUGCAGGGGAAGAGCCAGACAUAAUGCCUUUACUCCUAGGACAAGAAGAGAAAGAGGAAUCUGCAAAGCUGUUUAAGUCAGCUUUUUCGUGGCUAUGACUAGAGGACCCGACCAGCACAAUUAUAGAGGAGGAAAAGUUUAUUCAAAGGCUCAUGGUUUGAGAGGUCUUAGUCCAUAGAAGGUUGGCUCCAUUCCUCGGGGACUUGAGGUGAGGCUGAACAUCAUGGUAGGAGAGAGGGGCGGAGGAAAGCAGCUCACAUGGUGACCAGGAGGCAGGGAGAGACUCCACUGUCCAGAUAUAAAUAUAUACACAAAGCCACGCCCUAAUCCCCACCUCCUCUGGCCACACCCUGCCACUUCAGUUACCACUCAGUUAAUCCCUAUCAGGGGAUUAAUUCACUGAUUGGGUUAAGACUCUCACAACCCAAUCAUUUCUCCUCUGAACCGUCUUGCAUUGUUUCACAUGUGAACUUUUGGGGGACACUGAACAUCCACACCAUAACAGAGUCAGUGAUAGAAGAAACUAAUCAGAUAAGAGAAAGUGGUGGACAGUGCAAAUAAGGUUCCUAAGAGUGAGAUGAGGUACCAAUUUCAGAUGAAGAGAGGCAGAUGGGAAUGAGGACUGAGAAGGGGCUAGAGGAUUUGAAUGUUAAGAUGGAUGUUCUGGGCUAUCAUUAUGGGUUUUGAAGUCAGAUUUUAAGGAUUAAGUUGGGAUAAACAAAGUAGAGGCAGAGACCAUAGGUUCUAUGAAGUUUUAUAAAUAGAAGAGAGAGAGAGAGAGAGAGAGAGAGAGAGAGAGAGAGAGAGAGAGAGAGAGAGAUGAAGUAGUAGCUGAGGGUUGAGAAAAGAUUUGGGCAUUUAUGUAGAUAAAUGGGUGAGAGUGAGGAUGAGGUUGAAAUAAUGAAUGACUCAAAAGUUCCCAGAGGAGAAGGUAGAAGGUAGAAUUGAGAGCAUAUAGGAAGGAGCUUGUGGGGCACCUGCAUUUCUUUUUCUGAGAUGGGAAAUAAAGGAGGAGCAUUUAUCUUCUACCAUUAUGGGGAAUAACCAUGGCUCCCUUCAGCUCACAUUUGGGCUGUGCUCCCAGAAACAAAAUUUCAGUCUAGGUGAUCAGCAACUUGAUGUAGAAUGGCAAUUGUUAGUUUUAAACUUGGUAUCUUAGAGGUCAAAAGCAUUUUAAAAAUGUAGUGUGAGCAUAUUAGUCUCUUCAAUAACCCAUUUGCUUAUAUAACCAAGAAAUAUUAAACUGCUAAGAGGUAAAACCCAAAAUGUAUGUUCAGAAUUUUCUAAGGGUGAGAAACUAAGCAGUUGAUAUUUAUCAAAUGCUGUUUAUCCUGUUGACAACAAGUGUUUCUUAUCUCUCCAAAACUUAGGGGUAGUAGAAAUGAAUAGUAACUUUAGUGUAUAAAGAUACAACCUUUGUAUACUCUUCAUUUGGCAAUAGUAUGUUAUAAAAUAGAAAAACAUUUCACAGGUAGUUUAAAAAAUAGGCCUAUACCUGUGUAUAUAAAUAUUUGCUUGCUCAUGUAAUUAAGUCUGCAAUAAAUACAUACACAUGAAAAUAUUUAUACUAAAAUGAUAGAAAUUUAUAGUUAAAAUUUUAUUUAUCAAAAUUCUGUUUAAUGCAGUUUAUGUUUUUAUGACAAAAAAAGACUUUCCAGAACUGACCUUUGAACUGUCUUUAUAUAAGGAACAUUUGCAAUGGGGCUUCUCAGGGCUAUGUUGGUUUGCUUUAAGGUAGCUCUGAUACUGUGAGUUGAUGUUAGAAAAUGUUUCAUUAAAAUAUUUCGGUGACCUACUAUUUUUUUUUUUUGACUAGAGAUGCCAAGAUGUGGGUGCAAAAAGUCUAAGGACAAACAAGUCUGAUGUAGGUGGUUGGACAUUCUUGAGUUGCUUUCAUGUCUUCUUGGCAGGAAGUGAAUGUCCAUCCCCCGCCUGUCCUUUGUCUCCGCCUUUUGCCCUCACAUGCUGCAGCUGAUGUUCCCUAAGGACAGAUGGGGGAAUUGAGGGUGUGUGGUCUCUGCUGGAUUGAGGAGCCACCCUGAUCUUUUGGAUCAUGCCUGUUCUCAACAAUCUCCUGUUCUUGAUGGGGUCUGGAGAGGGAAGAAAUACUGUCCCCACACUCCCAACUGUUGGCCCCAGUCCAUCACAGAUUCUAAAACAUACUAUUGAUGAGGAAGCCUCCAAGUCUGAACUUUGGUUUGAGUGGUUAAGAAUGAAGUCAAUUUUCUUUUGAUCUAUUUGAUCUUUACAAAACACCCUAAGGGAAACACCUUUAAUACUGGAGCCCCAAUAAUAAUAUUAUGAUUUAGAUAUGAGGUGUCCACCAAAAGCUCAUAUGUGAGACAAGGCAAGAAUGUUCAGAGGUGAAAUGAUUGGGUUAUGAGAGAUGUAACCCAAUCAAUAGCUUAAUUCAUUGAUAUGGAUUAACUGGGUAGUAACUGCAUGCAGGUAGGGUGUGGCUGGAGGAGGUAGGUCAGUGGGGGUGUGUAUCUGGGGUAUAUAUUUUGUUCCUGGUGAGUGCCAUUCCCUUUGCUUCCUGAGUGCCCUGUCCUGGGCUGCUUUCACACCCUUCCACCGUCAUGUUCUGCCUCACGGGGGCCUAGAGCUAUGGAGUUGGCCAUCUAUGGACUGAACCUCUGAAAUUGUGAGCCUCAAGUAAACUUUUUAUUCUCUAUAUUGUUCUCGUCAGGUCUUUUGGUCACAGUGGUGAAAAAGCUGACUACAACAUAAGAAAACUAAAAAUUAAGAAAAAUUUUUUUUUUUUUUUGUUGAGGAAAUACCUUGAUGUCACAAACAUGAUGCAAGUAAUUCUUCUUUUCCUAAAUACCGUUACUUAAACUAUUUAGUAGACUCUGGAUUCUUUGGAUAUAAAGCCAAAUGUAAGCAAAAAUAGAAGAAAAAGGAAAAAAAAUUGUGUGUAGAUACUAGGAUAUGGAAAUUAUUUGUGGACAUAUAUAAUUCUUGGUAAAAAUUUCAAGGAAAUCUAUUUUUUCCCCCCAAUAGUGUGCAUGAGGCUAAGGAGGAGAGGAAGGCCACUUUCUGGGGACUUCUCAAGGGUAGACAUCUAAUUGGAUGACUGGUGUCAAAAAGCCUUUCUGCUCCUACUUUCUAUCAGUCUUCCUAGGAACUGACAUGGAACCUAAGGGAGGGACUUCUCUCUCUUUUUUCCCCCCAGUUCCCAGGCCUCGUCUCUGUUUCCUCUAGUCCUUUUGGAUUCCCUCAUUACUUAAGACUAUUAAGUCAAACACUUUCUCUCUAUUCCUAUAUGUGAGGGAGGUUAAGACCUCAAUUACAAACUAUACAUCUGGAAACUCUGCCAAAAUAUGAUCAUUAAUCAUCUAAAUUCUGAUGGUUUGUUAAAGAUAUGAAGGUCUCAUGACUUUGGGGUAUGUUCUUGUUAUUUUGAAUUUUUUUGUAUAUAUAUCCACCUAUGUAGAUGUAUGUUCAUGCCUAGUUAUUUGAAUUGUCUAUAGUGCUCCCUUGACACUUUAGUGAUUCUUCAUCACCUUCAGAUAAAGUCCCAGCUCUUUAGCAUAAUUAAAAUUCUCUUUCCCUCCUUCUUUGUCUUGUUAACCCUUCCUCUCUUUAUGGGUUCAGCUCAGGACUCAUCAUUUACAGGAAAUGUCUGAGGUUCCAGAAUGUAAACAGGCAUCUCCAGUUCUUGAUGGGGUCUGGACAUACUCAUGUAUAUGCUCAUGUAUAAUUUAGCAUUUACUGACUCAUUAGUUCAGCAAAUAUUUAUUGAGCACCUAUAUUUAUUAACCAGCACUAUGAGCUCCACUAGGUCAGGGCAGUCUUAUAAAAUAGACCUCAACAAAUAUUUAUUCAACUAAAAUAGACGUGUAUAUGUAUAUUUUUAGUUUUAGGAAAAGGCUUCGUUGGAUACUAUGAAUGAGAUUGCUGUUAGGCAGUUGGAGUUACAAUCAGAAUAACUUGUCAUAGGUGGUGAUUAAGAGCCUACAUGCCAGAGCCAAAUUACCUGGGUUCCAAUCUUGGCUCCUCUGUUUGCUUGCUUUGUGACACCUGGCUCAUCAUCUGCUGUCCUUGGGUCUCAUAGAUAACAUGCCAUGUCACUGCUGUAGCUGCUUGACAAGGUUACUGAGAGGAUUAAAUGAGGAGGGUACAAGGAAAUGUAUUGUAAAAUUCACAGUGCUGUAUUUAUCAUUUAUUUAUUUGGAUUAACCUUCUCAAUUUCAUCCUUGAGUGUGCUUCUAAAACUUUAAUGAAUAUAUAAGUCACCUAGGGAUCUGUUUAAAAUGCAGUUUCUCAUUCUAUAAGUCUGGGUUGGAGCAUGAAUUUCUGCAUUUCCAACAAGCUCUUGGGGGUACUAAUGCCCUGGUCCACAGACCACACUUGUGUCUAAUAUAGACCCACGAAUUUCAAACCUUACUGUGCAUCAGGGUCCCCUGGAGGGUUUAUUUAAAACAUGAUUGUUGGACUAUACCUCUGCUUCCAUAAGUCGAGGGUGGGGCUAACUAAGGAUUUGCUUUUCUAAGAAAUUCCCAGGUGAUGUUAAUACUGCUAAUUUGGGAACCUCAUACUUUGGGAACCACUGAUCUAGAAAACAGAUGAUUGUUUUACUUGGAGGGCAAAUUACUUUGCUAUGCUACAGAAAAACAGGAAUUAGAGACUUCAGACUUAGAUUCUUCUAGUUCUGGUGCCUAAACACAUUUAAUAUUAUUUUUAACAACAAGGGGCUCUAACAUGUCUCUAUAGGCUUUGCAUUGCCCUAAACCUGCCACAUCUGGAGUCCCAAUCUAACCCUGAAACCCCUGACAAGGAUUACUCUUAGAGCCAAUGGGAUUCUGGCUCUUAACUAGACAUCCUCCUAGAGAAAGGUGAAAAAGAGAAUGCUGGUAGAUUUCUGGAUCUGUACAGAAACCCUUGGAGGACAGGCAUGAGUUAUAUGACUCCUUAGGGCUUACUCACAGCAGAUUUUUUCAAGAGUGAGUGAGUGUGUGUGUGUGUGUGUGUGUGUGAAACUUGUUCUUAAUUAAAGCAAUUAUUAGAAAAAGGUCAAAUCAAAAUAUACUGAACUGUAUCUUCAGAAGUUUAUUGGUACUCUCUGUUACUUUCAGUGGAGAGAUGUUGGUAGCAUGUUCUGGAAAAAUUCAUGCCCUCUUAUGUCAGCCUAGUACUGUUAGGCUAGGCAGCCUCUUCUGUCCAAGGGAGAAAAGUGAAAAGCCCAUGGAACAUAGUCAGACUUGCUCAUCCUGGAAAUGAACCAGACCUUUAUACUCAACACUUAAUGUCCCUUCUUCUAUAGGAUAGUGUGCUGUCUUCUGGGAGUGAGUUGAGGAAUGGGUCUUAUCCCUGAGAUGUUCAUGGUUUUAAGAGAGAUGAGGAUUUAUGUGAACAGUUACAUUUUAAGCAGAAUGGAACAACUGAGAUGUUAACAUACUACUAAUGUGAAAGGGGAAUGCAAACAAGGAUACGUUUUGCAUGAGGAAGUUGGAUUUGACAUGUGGACUGAGACCUUGAAAAUUAAAGGAUUUAGAUGGAGGACCAUUCAGGUAAUUAUCACCAUGUACUUACUGUACUGAGCCUAGAUGUAAAACUUCCCACUUACUGUACCUUGCAAGGGUUAUUUUUCCUCAAAUCAGUGAUAUAUAAUUCAGAAAAAUGGAAAUGAACUUUAUCAAUGGAAAUGUUUAUAAUAUUUCAUUGCAGAAAAGGUCAAUGAUUACUUAGAUACGUUUUAGAUUUCUGUGCCAAGAUUGAACCAAGAACCAGUGAAAUUUUGGUUGUUGACCAGAUGACUGGUUUUGCUGUUGGCACGGUCAGCACAAUUCUAAAAGAGAAUUCAAGGCUGACUAUAGUUUGAAGACCAAUGACUUCCAAAGGCACCCUUCAACUUUGGAGGACAUUGCUGUGAAUUAUUUCUCUUUCUUACAGAGCCCUAUAGAUUUCUUAUGGUAAGAAAGCUGGACAAGACGAAAGAAGUCGUGAUCUACUGAGGUCCAGUUUUAAGUUUGAUGGAGCCCAAGCCUGUUCUUUUGCUCACCUGCCAUCACACAUGCUUUGAGACCUCCCCGGACUGUUUACUUGAAAGUUCCUCUUCCUCAACUGUUUAGUUUCUUCCCUGUUGGCAUCCUUAAGUCCUUAUCGACUUGAAACCCAUCCCUUCAGUCACUCUCUUGCCACUUGACCACUUUAUUUUUCUUUCCUGACCUUUUGUCCUUCUCUGGCACUUGUCCACCAAAUCCUCAACCCUAGAUCAAUCCAACAUCUGAUGAUUAUCUGUCUUUAUCCCUUUACUUUAAACAUGUACUACUACGCUUAGGUGUGUUUCUCCUAAGAUACCUAUAAACUGCUUUUUUGUUUGUGUUUGUUUGGUACUGAUAAUUGAACCCAGGGGUGCUCUACCACUGAGUUACAUUCCCAGCCCUUUUUCCUUUUUAUUUUGAGGCAGGAUCUUGCUAAGGGUUUCAUUAGGUUGUUGAGGCUGGUCUCAAAUUUUGAUCCUCCUGCCCCAGCCUCCAGAAUCUCUGGGAUUACUGGCAUGCUCUACUGUGCCUUGCCUUUGUUUUUACUCCAAUUGAGGAUACGUAGUUUUAAAAUUGAAGUUGGUGAGUUUAACUUGUUUAUAGUUACUGUGAGUACUGAUUUAUUUGAACAUAUUUAUAGCAUUUUUUAAGAAAAAAAUUUAUAAUGUUUUUCUCUUUCUUUAUUCAGUGCUGGGGCUUAAACCCAGAGGCCCUUUGCCACUGAGCUGCAUCCCUAUCCCUUUUUAUAUUUUUAUUUUGAGACAGGGUCUCACUAAGUUACUUAGGGCCUCACUAAGUUGCUGAGACUGGCCUCAAACAUGAGAUCCUCCUGCCUCAGCCUCCAGAGUCACUGGGAUUAUAGGCAUGUUCCACCGUGCCAGGCAUGUUUUUCAUUUUUUAACAUCAAUUAAUUAUUCUUUAGAAUUAUUUUUCUUCACCUUUGUGUCAAAAAUUUACAUUCUUUAUUCGUUACCUUUGGCUUCUCAGCAGAUGUACUUAACAAGCCUAAAAUUGAUAAAUAUUUCUAUACUUCCUUAGGAUAUUGUACACCCAAUAGAAUUCUUGAACUCUGGCCACUCCAUCCUGUAUUCCAUAUUAUUGGUGUCUAGAAUUUUAGCUCCACCUGUAUUUAAUCCUCCCAUUAGUCACUGUUAUUUAAAUAAAAUCUAAUUUUAUAUUUGCAUAUAGAAAAGUAAAUAGAUCAUUGUUAUAAAAUUUGAAACACUUUCAAAAAGGGAGCAUAAUCCAUGUAACAACCACAUAGAUCCAGAAAUAGACUGUUACUGGAACCCAGAAGUAAUCGCUUCCUAACUUCUAAAUUCUGUCAUUAUUAUUAUUAUUAUUAUAAUUAUUUGGUACUGGGGAUUGAACCCAGGGGUGUUUAACCACUGAGCCCAAGCCUAGCUCCCCUCACCCCCUUUAAUAUUUUACUAGAGAAAGGGUCUCACUGAAUUGCUAAGUGCCUUGAUAAGUUACUGAGGCUGGCUUUGAACUCGAAAUCCUCCUGCCUCAGGCUACCAAGCUGCUGGGAUUACAAGUGUGUGCCACCGCGCAUGGCAAACUUUGGUGAACAUUGAUUAAUUAAUUUGCCUGUUUUUAACUUUAUAUGGACAUUUACAUCUGGAUUAUUUCCCUCACUAUUAUUUUUGUGAGAUUGAUAGAAGUUGUUGGAAUCACUGAGACAUUUAACAUUGGAUCUGGAAUGUCCCUCAAAAGCUCAUCUGUUGAAGGCUUGGUCCCCUAUGCAGUAAUGUUCAGAGGUGGGACUCAUGGGAAGUAGUAGUUUGUUCAUUCCCCUAGCUGUAAAAUGAUCCAUUGUAUGAACAUAUAUGCUUAUUUAUCUAUUCUUCUAUUGAUGGACAUUCAAGUUGUUUUUAGUUUGUUUGUUUUGAAUAGCCUUCUAUGAACAUUGCAUAUGUCUUUUCCCAUUUCUGUGUUAAGUAUCUUAAGUACAAGUUCAUAGUGUACUUACUUCUGUUGAGUGUACCUAGGAGUAGAAUUGCUGAGAUAUGCAAUUUACAUUCUCAUCAAUAGUGUAUAAGAAUUCUAGUUUUGUGAAGUGCCUUUGAAAUCCUUGCUGUGGUUUGUAUUUUAUUUUGAGAUAAAAGUCUCCCUGAAUUGUGCAGGCUGGUCUUGAAUUUAUGAUCCUCCUGCCUCAGCUUCCUGGGUAACUGGGGUUACAGGCAUGCACCAACCACCAUGCCUGGCUUAAGUUAAAUUUAAAUAGUCCUAUGUGGUAAAUGGCUACUGUAUUAGAUAGUGUAGUUCUGCAGUCAAUUUUAACUGCCUAAGCAGCUCAUGGGGCACCUUGGAUAUAUGUAGUGGUCUUCAUUACAAUACCCUUCUUUGGGCAGUCCAUAUCUGUUAUCCUAUAACUCUUGACCCCAGCCUCAGCAUCUACGCUCUAUUCUCUCAGGCCACCGUAAUAGCAAUUGGAGUUGGCUUUACUUUUCUUCUCUGAUUACACUCAGCUAUCUAUUGCAUAUUUUUUGCAGUAUUAUCUGAUUGUUCAUGGAGAGGGGAUAUGUACUUCUCAAGCUGCUUGUCAUUUAUCUUCUGCUGUCACCACCCUGGAGACUUCCAUUGCUAGUAGUAGCGGUUCCAUAGUGUUACAUUUAACGAUUACUUCCUAAUCUUAUACUAUAUGACUCUGGAAAGUUUUGACUUUAUUGAUCGUUGUUUCCUUUGUCUCUCCACUUGACAUAUUCCAUAGCUCCAUGGUUUUCUUUCUACCUGUAUUGAUUCUCUCUUCCUGACUCCUUCUAGAAUAUCUCUUAUGCUCCCCCGCUUUCCAACUAGCAAAGAAGAUUUAGUCCUUAGUAUUAUUUUCUCACUCUAUCUGUAUUCCCAGAGUGACUUCAUUAAAAUUUUGGGCUUCAAAUAUAUUUUAUAAAUUCCAAAAUUUGUGACUCCCAUUUUUGAAACAUUAACCGGUGUGUUCUCAGUGUUUCCUGUUCUCCAUUUGAUUUGUACUUGUUAUGGUUUGGAUCUGGAAUGUCCCCUAAAAGCUUAUGUGUUGAAGGCUUGGUCCCCUAUGCAGUAAUGUUCGGAGGUGGGGCUCAUGGGAAGUGACUGGGUCAUGAGGGCUCUGACCUUAUCAGUGGAUUAAGCCAUUGAUGGAUUCAUAAUUUGAUGACACUGUUGGGAGGUGGUGGAAACUGUAGGAGGUGAGACUUAAUUGGAGGAAUCAGGGUGUGUCCUUCAGGGGAAUAUCAUGUUCCUUGCUGUAUCUCUCUACUUCCCACCUGCUAUGAGGUGAAUAACCUUUCUCUGCUUCCCACCGUGAUGCUCUCCUCUGUCUCAACACAGGCCUUAUAGUGAUGGGGCCAAGUGACCAUGGGCUGAAAUCUUUGAAACCAUGAGCCAAAGUAAAUCUUCCUUCCUUUGAAGUUGCUUAUGUUGGGCAUUUUGUCACAGUGACAGAAAGCUGGCUAAAUUACCACUCAUUCUUGUAAAAAUAAAAAGCAUCAACAAAAAGCAAAAUACAAAGCAGCAGGUUUUAUAGGGUUCACAAAGUUCAGGGAGAAGGUUAAAAAAUUUCAGAGAAGAAAUUGCUGCAUGAUGUAUCUAGGCAGACUGUUGGCUUAAUGUUCCCCUGAUUUGUCUCUAAAAUAAUUGUAGGGGACUGCAGAUGGUACACUGGUAUAAGGUGCAGUCUUAGAUGUUUUUUGAUUUAUUUUAUUUGUUUAUUUAUUGGCAAAUAAAAAUUAUAUUUGUGACAUAAAAAUUACAUUUUUUGAAAAAAAUAUUUACUGUUGCAUAUUAAUUAUACAGAACAGUAGGUUUCAUUGUGACAUAUUUGUGCAUGCAUAUAACAUAAUUUGGCCAAUGUUAUUCUCCAGUACCACCUCUCUUAUCCUCCCCUCCUCCAGCCCCUGCACCUUUCCUUUGCCCUAAUGAUUUCUCUUCUACUUUUAUGACACCCUUUCCUCCUUCUUUUUUUUUUUCAUUUUUUUUAUGCUUUCCAAAUAUGAGAGAAAAUAAUGAUACCUGUCUGAGUCUGGCUUAUUUCAUUUAACAUGAUACUCUCCAGUUCCAUCCACUUUCCUGCAGAUGAUGUAUUUUAUUCUUCUUUAUGGCACAGCAUCAUUUCACACUGAGGAAAGUACCAUAUCAAGACAUUCUUCCUCCUUAUCAAUCUAUUUAAUCCUUCAACACAAAUGGGCUGCUCAUCUGCCAUUAAUAUAUAUAUAUAUAUAUAUAUAUAUAUAUAUAUAUAUAUAUAUAUAUAUAUAUACAUCUCACAUUUUCUUUAUCCAUUAAUCUAUUGAUAGACAUCUAGGCUGAUUUCAUAACUUGGCCAUUUUGAAUUAUGCUGCAAUAAAGAUGGGUAUGCACAUAUCCCUAAAGUAUGCUGGCUUUAAUUAUUUUGGCUCAAUACUGAGAAGUGGUGUNNNNNNNNNNNNNNNNNNNNNNNNNNNNNNNNNNNNNNNNNNNNNNNNNNNNNNNNNNNNNAUUUCACACUGAGGAAAGUACCAUAUCAAGACAUUCUUCCUCCUUAUCAAUCUAUUUAAUCCUUCAACACAAAUGGGCUGCGCAUCUGCCAUUAAUAUAUAUAUAUAUAUAUAUAUAUAUAUAUAUAUAUAUAUAUAUAUACAUCUCACAUUUUCUUUAUCCAUUAACCUAUUGAUAGACAUCUAGGCUGAUUUCAUAACUUGGCCAUUUUGAAUUAUGCUGCAAUAAAGAUGGGUAUGCACAUAUCCCUAAAGUAUGCUGGCUUUAAUUAUUUUGGCUCAAUACUGAGAAGUGGUGUAGCUGGAUCAUAUGGCAGUUCAAUUUUUAUUUUUUUGAGGACCCUCCCAUACUGAUUUCCAUAGUGUCUCUACUAAUUUACAUUCCUACAGUGUAUAAACAAUAAACUAUUCUACAAAUGAUGCUUUAAUAAAUGUAUUGUACAUUUUAAAGUGGCUAUAUCAGGCUAAUAACAUAAGCAUUACCUCACAUCAUCUUUAUUAUUAUUACUUUGGAAUGAAAACUUUGGUCUAUUUUUCAGGUAAAUAAUAAGUGGCAGAACUGCUACUAGACCUCAGGCCAUUCAGAAAUGCUAUACCUGCUGCUAACAACCCAAGACAUAAUAAAGUAGUAAUCCUCCCUUAAAUUUGACUUACUUUAAGGAAUCUAAGAAUAUGAAUGAAUAGGAAAUUUCAAGAGAUUUCAGUUAUAUUUAUUGUUGCAACUGGUCUAUAAUGGUGUAACAUCUUACGUGUUUCAACUAAAGCCGAAAAUAUAUACCUCAUAAACUUAAGAAAAUUUUCUUCUAGUAAUCAUUUUAAUUGCGUGUAUAUGGAAAGGAAACUAUUAAGAGACACUUUGAAACUCUUUUUAUUUAACCCUAGUCUACUUUUAGCCAAUAUUUAUGGGAACCAACAUUAUCCCUUCUCAGUAACUACAUUUUCCUGUUUCCUCCAAGGGUCAUGUGAAAGACUAUGUAUAAUCCAGAAGAGAUAUUUCUACGGUGGAAAAAAAAAGAAAAAACCCCAUAUUUAAGUCAAUUCAAGUCUUUUCCUGACGUCUAGGCUGAAUCUAGGACACAUCUGGACAUUGGGAAACAUCCAACUUUGACUUUUCCAGUUUGCAGCAGAACAUUUAGUAAAUAAAAGAAUAAGGAAUUCAUCCUAAUUGUGUGUAUGUUUUAAAAAUGUCAACAGCAUUUCAGUGGGGCUGGUAUCCCCACAGCACAACCCUUGUUUCUUGCCCCAUGUCAGACUUGCCCCAUGUUGGCCAAGGAGACUGACAUUCAAAGGGUGUGGUUUUUGAGGUUGCCACAUGUCUUGCCAUGACUUAAAAUAACUUCUCUGGCUGCCAGAUGGCUUGAGGAAGCACCAGACACAGAAUCCGUUGACUUCAAAACUUGGUGCCUUAGGACUGGAGGCUCUUUCAGGGUCCUUAACUUUCUGUUUUUAAAUAGUUUGACCAUUUCAGGCCCUAAGGCAAGAUCUUGUUCUUCUUUACUUCUUCCAUCAGUGAAAGCAGAAAGUGAGAAUUAAUUUCAGGCACAGAAAGUGAAUGUUGACCUUUCAUUGUUCCUUUGAGAACAUCCAUCUUUCUCCAAAUCUUUCAUUUUCAGCUUAACUUCUCUUGGAUACUGUAUGCAUAUGAGGUGUGGAGAAAACCCAUGGGGAAACUAUUCUGAGAGGCUACCAAUAGACCUGUUCUGGCAGGGAUGGAGGAAGAAACAUCAGAUAUGCUCAUCAAGUCCAAUUCCCUCCUGGGUGCAGAUACAUAAAGUGCAAUUUUUGAAUAAUAAUAUCUGGAAAAUGAGAGAAAAAUAAUCAUCUUAAAAGAAAAGUCAGAUAACAUUAUUUAGAGAGGGGAAAGAAUUUUUUUUCAUUUAUAGAAGGAAGAAUGAAAUAAAUUGGCUUAAAAAGAGACAAAUAAAUACAUAGCAAGGAGACUUUCUUCAUCAAAUAUUUACUGAGCACCUACUAUGCACCAGAGAAAGUAAUAGAUUCUGGAGAUAUGAUAGUGGAUUAGAGAUGUUCUUUAGCUUCAUGGAUUUCUUAGUCUAGUGGGAGGGCACAACAAGCUACCUAACCCAGUGUUGGCUUCAUUUUCAAAGAUCCUGUUACAAAACAAAAGAAAACAAAAAUUCAGUUCUGAUUUUUUAAAAAAAUAUUUUCUCACCCUUGGAUCGUUGGCUGCCAAAUACAAUUGUGGUGGAGGAAGACAGCUUUUAUAUAAGACGGUUGGAUAGCUGCCCACCUCCCGGCUUUGCAUAGAUAUCAUUUCUCAUAUCUCACCAUCUGAUGAUUUAUUGGCUUACAUUGGUCUCCCCCUAUAGAUUGUGAGUCCCUUAAAAUCAAGGAUUUGACUUGACUUAAUAGUCUCUGUUUGGGCCCAGCAUAGUUCUAGGAUGAGUAAAUAAAAUAAUCAAGACAGAUGAGUAAAAGAAAUGAAUGUUUGCACAGCAUCAUUUCACAUUGAGGAAAGUACCAUAUCAAGACAUUUUCCUCCUUAUCAAUCUAUUUAAUCCUUCAACACAAAUGGGCUGUGCAUCUGCCAUGUACAGACUUUGCAUCUGUCAUAGAACUUGGUAGAGAGCAAGCUAGACAAAGCACUGGCUCUUGUGGAGUCUGAUGGAGGAAGACAGCUUUUAUAUAAGUAAUACAUAAAUGCAUACUUCUUAAUUCUAUCAAAAUAUAGGUAAAAUGUUAGAUGAUUUUUUUCUGAAGAUGGCAGGGAAAUUUUAUAUUUCGCUAGUUUUUGGAUGCCUAUAAGAAAUGUCUUGUAUUUUCUCCCACUCUCCCUUCCUAUCCACCUGUAAUAAUUAAGUGUUAAGCACAAUUUCUAUAGAGAAAAUGGCAUAACAUAAUGUUCAUUCUAGAUAUUUUAACUGCUCGGCUUGGUUCAAUUGUUAACAGCAAAAUCCGAUUUUUGUUAAACACAUUGAUUAGUGGUACUUGCAUUUUCCCCAAGGUUGUCUCACAGUUGUUCUGGUGUUAUCUAGUGAGUCAGAACUCAUUUUUUCAGAGAAGCUUUGGGGCUCUAAAAAAUUGCCAACACCUAUAGUCAGAUGUGUAUGUUCCUGUCCAUUAAGGGUAUGAAAGGACAGAUAGAUAUGAUAUAGAGGUAGAAAAUAAGAACAACAGUCAUUUUUGGUUCUCUCCAAAUGUCAGGAAUACUACUCCUAGAAACUUAUGAAAUUAUUAUGAAAUAUAUAUGUGCAUGUACCUAGACAUAGAUAUAUUCACUACAGAUUUAGCAAAAUAAACUUUCAGCAUUAGAGGUGAACAAUGGAGGAGCAAACUGAUCCCCUUAUAUAGUAGGUCAAUACGCUACUAUUAAAUUUGUUUCAUAGUUCCCUUUGUAGUUUCUGGAUAUAAAACAGAAGCCUCCCCACCAGCAUUCUUUUCUGUUCCUUUCUCUCUUUUCUCUUUUCUACUUUGAUUUCUUUUUUCUAAGUGCUACCAUGUGGGCCUCUGAGUUGUACUGCUAAUACUAACAGUGCAUGUAACAUCAGCAGUAAACCAGUAUGGAGGUGAGAGGGCAUGGGACAUGGUAUGGUGGUCCUGGAUAAUACUAGUCACAGGUAUUUUAUUUCUCAGGUCAAAUAAACUAAAAUUGUCUGUUAAAAAAGUUUUUUUUUCUGCUGUUGCUUAAUAUUAUACUUUUUAAAAUGAAAACAUGAUCUCUUUAGUCCUAGUCUGAUGUUGAAUUGCUUACCAUUCUAAUCAAAACAUGGGGGCUCAGUUGAUAAGAAGAAGACAAUUAAGAAAGACAGAAUAAAAGAAAUGGAAAAAAAAUAGAAGUACUGACAGCUUCAACACUAAACUAGAUCACUUCCCCAAAUGAGUGUCCAUCUGUGUUCACCUUGUCAGUUACAGAUAAGAGCCACUUUAGAACCAUGUGUAGGAGGUACUUCAUGUGCUCUGAACCAGGCAUCCUGAGCAGGGGUGAUUCUACCCCAAGGGGCCUUUUUAUAUGUGAAGCAUGGACAUAUGAGCAGCAUGCAAACAGAUACACAGCAUAACGAUGGUACUAGAAUUCCACGUGGAGGAAGUAAUUAGGAAAAAUGUCUGGAAAGGUACUUUGCUGAGAAGGAAAUAAUGAAAAUAAAUAAUGGAGGAACACUGCCCUCAGUGGUAUCUUUAUGCUGGGUAAAGGAGAUAAUUUACUUCUGGAUGAAGUUUCUUUUCCUUUUUCUCCUUCUCCUUCUCCCCCCACUCCUUUUCCUCCUCCUCCUCCUCCUCUUUUUUCUUUUUCUUCUUUUAUUUUUCCUUGGUACUGGGGAUUGAACUCAGGGGGGAUUUACUGUCCAGCUACAACCCCAGUCCUUGUUUGUUUUCUUUUUCUUUUGAGACAGGGUCUCACCAAGUUGCUGAGAUUGACCUUCACCUUGAACUUUUGAUCCUCCUGCCUCAGCCACCCAAGUCUCUGGGAUUAUAGGCGUGCACCACCACAAAGGUUUGGGGGAGCAGGAUGAAGCUUCUUAAUCUCAAAGAACCUGAUAUUUAUGCUACAACAUCAACUAUGAAAUGACCUGUAUGGGAUAAAGCCAAAAUGGUAGCAUGGCUUAUAAAUGAUGGAUGAUUGAUAGGUUUCUCAAGAGCUGUUGUAAUUCCAACAAAUGUAGGCCUCAACAGAAAAUUUGUAUUGAAAAAAAAAAAAAGAAAUGAUGGUAGGCAAAUCCUUUUUUUGGUUUAUUUAUAGAAUCUGUAGUCCUUAUGUGUUCAUGUACAAUAGAAAUUCUCUCAACUGACCCUCACUUAAUUGGCUUGCCAGAUUUACAGAGAUUACGCACAUCUCCUGUGAGACCUCUUCACUGAGGACCAUGGCACUUUGGAUGCUGUAGGCUAGUAGGCUACUCACUAUUGUACCCCAUGCUCUGUUUUUUAUAUGACUUAUAUGCUUACUAAGAGUCAGCUUGGUUUGUUCCCCAACCUGUGCACACCAGUUUCAUUUGUUACUGUACUUAGUUAUUAUUGAAUGAAAUAUCAAGUAUGUCUAUGAAUACAGAAGGAAAGAGGACUAUGGCUUCUACAAAACCCAAGUUGAAUGCAUUAGAUAGAGUCAAAACGGAGAAUUCUAGUUUAAAUUGAGAGUAUUCAAACAGUAUGCUUGUCCUUAGCCAUAUCAAUUCCAGGCACAGAGUAGAGAGAGCUGUGAAUUAAGCCAGGUUUGAGGUUCUGCCAGAGGAUUAUGAAGGAGGGAGAGAAGAUAUAGGGAAUUAUAAAUGUAUACAGGUCAGCGAGUUUAGCGAUGGUUAUUGAACUUUAAGCUGCAUAAAAAGGAAACAUGAGAACAUGAAGGAUGUGAGAGACUUUGAGAAGAUGAUAGGCUUAGUCAACUGGAGAGCACUUGGGUAAUCGAGUGAUCUGGAAUUCUGGAGGUUGUGACUAGAGAAUGAAAUGUUUGAAAUUAAUAAAUUAAGAUAAUGGUAAUGACGAGGGGGAGUUGGCAGAAGCAGACUGCUGUGCAAUUUAGUACUGGCAAGUUAGUAAGUGCCAGAGGGGUUCAGAGGAUAGAGGACGUUGUCCAGGUUGGGUAAAGUGUCGUGGAGGAAUGGGGUUUACAUCUGAGUGUAAAAGGCUGAAAAGUCAGCUUGGGAUAGACAGAGAAAGAGGUUUCAGGUAGUGGGCCACAGAAUGAGUAAAGGCCAAAUGGCAGGGAGAAGCAUGAUGUGUUUUUUUGUGUUUGUUUAGUUUUUCUUUCUUGGUACUGGGGAGCAUACCCAGGGCCUUGCACCCACAAGAUAGGGUCUCACUAAACUGUCCAGGUUGGCCUCGAACUUGUGAUCCUCCUGCUUCAGUCCCUUGAGUAGCUAGGAUUACAAGUGUGUGCCACUGUGCCGGGUACAUGGUGUUUUUUUUUGAUGUCAGUACCUUUAUGAGGUAUGGCAACCUCAGACUGUGACAGUUUUGUUGAGAUGCUGGAUAGAGGGUUGUUGAGAUGCUGGAUAGAGGGUUGUUGCCUUUUUACUUUUCUGUAAAAAAGUAAUUAUUGUUUGGUGGCUGUCUUUUAGAAUUCUCUCAAUGGCCUGAUCUUUAUUGACAUUAUCCUUUGGGUCAGAAUUCAUUCUUGCAUGAAGUUUUAGGCUGUGAGAAAUUGCCUACAUUUGUAAACAUCCAUAAACAGUCAAACACGGGCUGGGGAUGUGGCUCAAACGGUAGUGCGCUCGCCUGGCAUGCGUGCAGCCGGGGUUCAAUCCUCAGCACCACACACAAACAAAGAUGUUGUGUCUGCCGAAAACUAAAAAAAAAAAAAAAUAUUAAAAUUCUCUCUCUCUCAAAAAAAAAAGGAAAUUAAAAAAAACCAGUCAAACACAUUAAAAUACAAAAGGGAAGAUGGAAAUAGAUGAGAAAGUUAGAAAACAAAAUUUGAGUGUGUACCCAAGUUCACUUGGAGGCUGCAUUCUUAGAUUCUUGUGUCUGGUAAAUCUCAGAUUCUUUAUCUUUGAACAUUGAUCUUAGGACUUUUUAUCUUAGAAUGUCACCCCUUCACAUUUAUGAUUUUUCCCCUCAUAGAUCCAAAAGUAAACUGAGUUAAUUCACGUCCACUUCCCUUUCACUUUCCAUUUAGUAUUUAUUGAUUUGAGAAGAGAUACUGAACUAUCACAAGUACCCAUAUACGGAGAAAGUUUGACUAGGGUCUUCUAUCUCUUUAGCUAGAUCAACAAUGGAAAGAGAAGUUAUUAGAAGGCUGCUAGGUGAGGGGUGUUCAGAACAAGGGUCAUUUUUUUAGAUAAAACAAAAUUUAUUGAUAUCAAAAUUUAUUGAUAAAUAUUCACGCUAUGAAUGCCCAAGGCAUCUAUCUCCAAAAGAGUUUUCCUGUUACUCCCGAUCAUUUAUUUUCAAUUAGGGUCCUUGUAGGCAAGAGGUGGCAUACUUAAUUUUUCUUGAAGAGACAUCAAUUAAGGGAUUUUUAAAAUAGGUUAUAGGAGCUGAUGACAAAGCACCUAGGGGACUAGUUAUGUUGGGAAGCUGUUACCCAUCUUAGACCUGAAGGGACAAGGAGAGUAAGUUGGUGUUGGAGAACCCAGCAAGAGCUGUGGUUAGAGAGAGAGGUAUCCAACAGAGGCUGCAGCUAUAAGUAGAGGAUUAUUAUCUCUGCCAAACCUAGUGAGUCAGGGAAAGAAUAGACAGAAUAAACACUUCAGUCUCUCUCUCUCUCAGCACCCCCACCCCCCGCCCCCUUUUUCAUCCUCCAGUCUCUUCCCAUUGGUGGAACCCAACUGGAAGCUGGGAGGCAAGAGAGUCAGCUGAUAAGGUCCAAAGUGGUCAACUCCUACAACACAACCAUGAAUAGAAAAGUUAAGAACGGAUCUGGAGAGAGGAAAAGAGAACAAACAGAAUCCUACUUUUUUUUUUUUAAACUCUUUAAUCCUUCAGAAGUCUACACGCUUUUACUUUUUCCCAAGAGUAGCACUUUAUUACAAUUCUGGAAAGUUAAAAUUCUGAAUUUUUUUGUUUUGUUAUUAAUCCAUGUAGAGUUGUGGAGAUGACUCAGUAAAUAGAAUGUACUGGAAAACAGUGAAUGGCAGGUGGAAGUCAAAACAUCAUGUUUAUGAUUGGUCAAAUUUGGUUGGAGGAAGAGCUUGGUGUGAGAAAUCUACCACUGAGCUCAGAAUUCUUCAGUCUUUUUCAUCCCAUCUCAAAUGACACAAAACCAUAUGGUGGAGAGUCUGUUCCUGCAGGAGACUAGGGGUGUGUGUGUGUGUGUGUGUGUGUGUGUAAGGGGCAGGCAUGCCCACUAGGUCAAAGCUGUUGAGUCUUGAGUCUGGCAUGUGUCCUUUGAGGUCAGCUUAUGCCUACCAGCAAGGUUUUCCACUGUUUUUGGAGUAGUGUGAAUUAAGAGCAUUGGAGGGCAAUGACUUUUCUCUUUCACAUUUUCUCAUUCAUUGGUUCAUUCAACUUCUACAUGUUUUCCGAAGUUAGGCACACUACAAAUGGGACUGCAAAAAUGAAUGGGAUGUGAUUUCUCUCUAGCAUCAGUGUUACCAAAUACUAAGAACACUUAAUAGUGACUGCAGAUGUUCCUUAUGGCAGGAUGUUCUUUUCAUUUGUUAUGAAAUGUUCACUGCUGCCAUAUAACAAAUACUUCUAUGAACCUUAUUUUACAGAUGAAGAAACUGGACUUGCUCAAAGUCACAGAAACUAGUUAGAGGCAGAGCUAGGAUUCAAAAUGUAGUUAGUUUAGCUCCAGAGCUGGUGUUCUUAACUUUUUCCCAGGUCCCAGGCCAGUGCUCAAGAGAGGCCUGUGAACAAAAACUACAGUGUAAUGAAUGAGGUAAGUGCUACUGGAGAGGCUGUACCAUGUGCAGAGGGAGCUGAGGAAGGAGUGACUCAACAGGCCUGUGUAUAGGACAUUGGUGCAAUUUCCCUUGCUCACUGCCAGAAAUGAACAGAAUGGAGUCUUUCGAGGGUGUGCGUUAUUACUACUAUGCAUGGAUUCAGAUAUAGAGGUCAACUUAUAUUGCCCCCAUGACCCUCCCAAAGAUAACAACACUUAAAAUAAUUUCUUCCACAUCCUGGACCCCCUCCAAGAGUUUUGUUCCAGCUUUUGGACAAGGGAGAAACAGGAAGAGGAUGUGCUAAUGUUCCCUGACUAGAGAACUGACUUGGAAUUUGGAAUGCUUUGUAAUUAAAAUCAUCAUUAAGUUUCUAUUGUCCUAAAGUACAUAUGUGUGUCAACUGUAUUUUAUAUUCAAUAGUAUAAAUUGCUAUCUGUAAUCACUAGCACCAGCUGUGAGAAUGGUGAAAUCUUAACAUUUUCAUAGUUUGUAGGUUUAUGUCAACUGAAGAUGAUUUAUUUCUUUAUUAAUAUUCUUCACCUCAAAUACAUUUUUUUGCUGUGACAAUAAUAAUUUAAGCAGUAAAUCACCAUUUCUGCUAAUAACACAAAACAAAUUCACUUCUAUUUCAUCAAACUUGGUAGAAAUUAUUUCAAUUUGGCUCCCUUAACUGAUUUAUAUUUUAACCUAUCUUUGAUAUAUUGAAUACCCACACAUUUGGUUCUUAUAUUUCUUGAUGUUAAAGUAAAUAUCAUUACAUCUAUUUGGGCAGACGGGGUACUCUAAACAGGUGCUGCCUGCCGCUGCCAAGUGAUGGUUUAUUCAUGCCAGGAUAUUCAACACAUCCUGUAGUUUAGUGUAAACACCAGGUGGGAUUCUAAUCCAUUCAACACAGAGCCCCUUGUUCAUCCUUCCUCAGUGAAUGAAAACCUAAGGGAAACCCCUGCCUGCUUAGGGAUUCUCUACACCUUUAGAAGUCACUGAAUCUCACUCACUCCGAAACAACUUACAAAGAGGGUGGAUCAGUUACCCCUAGUCUGCUCUACCAGUAACCUAUUUCUUGCAUGGUCUCAGAAAUUCUCAGUGAAGUCCCUGUCUGACAUGUAACAUUUCUCAUGCCAGUUUACUCUUUUUAGGGUUUUAGGGUUGGAGAAAUACUCCCUUCUGUCCAAGGUUGAAACUACUUAGGAGCUUUGAGUCCUUGACUCAGGACCAGAUCAUCCUCUUAUUAGUGAUAGAGAAAGACAGUGAGAAGAGGUGAUCCCCACCAUGAUGGGGUAUCCUUUAGGUCUUAUGGUCAUCAAGGCAGAGUCUUUGGUUUCUGGGGUGAGAGUUGCCACUUUUGGACCCAAGCAGCACCAUCAUCAGGGGAGUUUCCAAGGAAGAAGGACAUCUCUGCUUACUGAUUUGACCAGGUAUUGUCGCACAGAGGUGCAAAGGCACUGGAGUUCUGCUUCUACAGCCUUUCAUUUCUUAGAUGUAACAAGAAAUUGGUAUUAGGUGAGAUAGGAGAAACCAUCUAUCUUGUUGAAACUGCUGUUGUUUAGGGUCUUUGUCAAGCAGUCAGGUAGGUAGUCUGAUAAAUGGAGUAAAAUAUCCUUCCUUGGAGGUCUGGACAUUAUAAUUGCAAGAGAAGAGGCUAUGUCUUUUGAUAACUUAUCCAUCACUCAAAGGAAUAAUCUUGACUAUCGACAACUGUGACAAACAAAUGGAUGUCCCCCAAUAUUGAUUCUCUUUUCUAUAGUCAUAAAAUUCUGAAUAUGUAGAUGGGACCAGCCAUGAAGCUCUGAUUGAUAAGAUAUUAAACAAUAUUGAUUAAUGAGAUUUAAACAGAAAUAACACCAUUUCUGGGUUUCUCCCUGAAAGGGAGGGGCAGGCCAUAUGGAUUCAGGACCCAUAUAGGUCCAAGGAUGGCAGAGUUGCCUUACAGAGGCACCUGGGUUCCUGGCCCUUGGCCUGCCACACCAGUCCUGGACUGCUCAGUUCAAGACUGCUGGGUGAGAUAGGUAGGAAAAGCCAUCGAUUAUGUAUAAACUACUGUUAUUUGGGGUCUCUGUCAAGCAGUCAGGCCCCUAUCCUGAGUCAGCGACUUGGGUUUUUAGUAGAACAGAGUCAAUUUUGGUUGAGAACAUUGCCCCACUCCUCCAGCUCUUCUGUCUUCAAUAGCCUUACUUCUCUCAGAGACAGCUUCCGGGGACUCUCUGGGGCUUCCAUUUAGGGUGCUGUCUUUUGGGGACUCUAUAAAGAAAGAAAGGACUGUGAUAUUUAGACUUUUCACUUACAGUCACAAAUCCUGCCCGCAAACCGUCACUCCUUUCAGCAUUGUCGGAGAUCUCUGGCAUGCCCCAGGGCUGACAUCUGAACGAGGAAGGGUGUUUCUCAGACAUGACUCUAGUGUUUGAAUUUGUUGCUAGGACAUCUGUGGAAUUUCCAUAUUCUAUCUUAGGAAAGAAAUAUCAUUUUUCUUUGAUGGUACAUGCUUCAGCUAGAAAUACAAGGAAAGCACUGUUUGCGGUGGCAUUUUGGCAGAACUCUGAAGUGUGGCCUGGAUCUGGGAACCCAUAAUCCAAGAAUAAGGCACCAUUGACGUACAAAAUUGUUGAAUUUGGAUAGAAGCUAGGUUCAGCUAUGCUUAUGAAGCUACUGUCUUGUGGGGUCAAAGGAGCUUAUUUUUUGAGCAAGUGUGUUUCACUGUUUUCAGGCAACUACCAAAAUAAUUAUUUCCUGUGUGGGUCAGCAGGAGUGAGGUAAUCCCAGGGAAAAUGUUCCAUUGUGCUUGCUGGGCUGGGCAGUGCAGUGGCUCCAGACAUUCUCUUAAAGUAACAGUAAUUCCUAAUUGCAUUGAAUGCAUAUAUCCUUGGGAGGGAAGUUUAUUUUUCCAUUUGAUACUUCCAGGAUUUUGUGAUAGACAUCAAAUGAGAAUAUGCAACUACAUACACAUAUACGCACACAUACAUUAACUCUUCCGGGGGUGCCCUUAUCAUGUUGGUUCAUUUCAAUAGUGAAUAGAUGUUUUAGAGAGAUAAUUCUAUAUGAACCAAAAUAAUGCUUUCUGCCUCAAUCAGUGUAAAAGUAGAAACUUACCUUCUAUUUGUUCAUCUUGAGACACUUGAGGGGGUGCUUUAUUUGCUUCUCCUUCCCAACACUUACUAAUGGGUCUAUCACUGAAUACAAUUUUCAUUAAUCAUUUGUUCAAUUAAUGAAUGGAAGGAAAUGAAUCCCAGGAAGGAGAUUAAUACCUUGAAACCCAGCCAGGCAUGGUGGCACACACUUGUAAUCCCAGCUAUUUGGAAGUUGAGGCUGGAGGAUUGCAUGUUUGAGGCCAGUCAGGGCAACUUAGUGAGACCCUGUCUCAAAGUAAAAACAGUAAAUAAAUAAAAAGAGCUAGGGAUGUAUCCUGAUGGUAGAUCUUCCCUGGGUUCAAACUCCAGUGAAACAAAAGAAAAAACAAAAGCUGACCUUUCCUAGUACUGUGACAUUGAGACAAGAGUUUGACAGAAGGAGCCCCUCGCUAGCCAGCACUAACACAUCUCUGAGGAAACAAACUCUGCGAUUCCAAAGAUUAAACAACUCCGCUUCAAACUGCCAUCCAUCCUGGAAUCAGAGAAGUAGGCAUGGGAUUAUCCACACCAGUUGUGAGAUCCUGGCACUGCAAGUAGAGUGAAUUGUGGCAGCUGGAAUAACAGGUGGCAGACAAUCAAACUAGGUCAAAUGGGAUACCACCUCUGGUCCACAAAGUAGAGGGAUUUUUUGAAUAUACACCAUGUAAUACUUCACUCUGCUUGCCUUGCAUGACUGCUGGGGUAGAGGAGCUUAGAGUGUACAUUAUAGAUUAUAAAGCUGCAUAUUAUAAGAGGGAGUGCUCAUUACUAAUCAAUCCACUUACCAAAUUUUUGUGGAGUGCCUACUUUGUACCAGCCCAUAUUGGUGCUGGAGUGCAGAGGUAAACAAGACAGACUUUGCCCGCACUAUUAAGAAGCGUAGCUUCUACCAGAGGAAAUAGAAACACAAACCAGUAUAUAAAAUAAUUACAAAUUCUGGCCAUUUGUGAAAAAUAAACUGGAUAUUGAUGUAGAGAAUAAAUAGAAGUUCACAGGGUAGACUUGUCAGGAGGAGGAGUGAGCCUUGGGAAAUAAUUGGGAAAGGGAAGAUAAUUCCACACAGAGGGAAGAAUUCAUGUUAAGGACAUGUGGCCUAAAAGAAGUGGUAUUUUAGAGGAUGAACAAAGCAAAACAAAACAAAAUAGUCAUGAGUCUGCAGCAGAAUAAGUGAGGGGAGAAUCGCCUUAAUUAGCAAAAGUCCUUCUAGGAUUUUUGGAUCCUCUGGAUGCAAUUUGCAAAAGUGGAUGUUGAGUGUUUGAAGGAUUGACAGGAGGCUUUACUCUCCACACCAAGAGGUCUGAGCUCGAGUGUAGACCUUGCUCCCACUGUAUGGAUAAGGCCUCAUCUCAGCUUUUCUAUAUUCCACCCUGCUGAGUAAAGUAGAAUGGAAAGUUGAACUUCAUCUAAAAUGCAAGAGAAAAGCAAGUACUGUACAGGGGGAAACUGUGGAGCUUAUGAUUCUGCAGGAAAGGAGAAAAAUCAAGGCUGGGAAUGGCCAUCCACACCAAUUUGUAUUUGGAACUGAAAUUAAAGAGAAUACCGAUAUUGACAUCUAUGAUGUUCUUUUCGUUUUCUGCUCCUUGAUUUUUCAGUAUAUAAACCAUCUGGGAACUGUUCUCUCUUUGGGAGUCAUUAAGAUGUCAACUUCCAGUGCUGAAACUAUGGAAUAGAGUGCUUGUGUAUGUUUGUGUUUAUCAUCUACAUGCAGGUAGAUGAAAUGCUGAAUGCAGCUAGAUGUACUGACUUACCCAGGGGUACUAACUAGGAGACCUAUGCAAAUGUGGUUGGGAAAAAAAUUCUAUCUUCAUUUUUACUGUCCUUUCUAACUUAGACUUAACAUUACAAUGAUAUAUUUGGGCAAUGAACCACAGUUAUUUUAGCAGUGCUUGUGACUUUGUCAUCAAUAGAAAUCACAGAUAUAUAUUUUUAUAUCGCAUUAUAGUUUUUUUGUAGUUAUCUCAAAUACUAACUUAUGCUUAUCACUAUUUCAGAAUUACAGAAUUUAUCAUGCCAUAGCUCUAUAUUAUUAUUUUAUGUGUUAGUAAACAUGUUUAUUACUAUAUCAUGAAGAAUAUAUUGUAGUGCUUAUGAAUUAUGUAAGGAAAAUCACAUUAGAGAAGUAAAAAACAAGAAAUAAAAGAAAUAAAAUCAAUAUAGGGUAUGCUAAUAAGCAAAUUAUCACUGCAUGCAAGAGAAGUUCACCCUUUCUGGACACCUCUGGAAGAAUGUAGGAACAUGUACAGAGAUGCUCCAUCCAAGGGCAUCUAUGCACCUGCUCCUACCACCUCUGGCCGGGAGCUGCUCCUGGGUAAGUUAGUUCCCCAUCACUUGUGGCCUUUUUGAGCAACAGGACUGAGCAUUACUAUUAUAUUAUAUAUUUUUUUUAUUUCUCUAAGCCUUUUUUAAUACUUUUAUUGGUGUAUUAUAAUUACACAUAAUAGUGGAAUUCAUUGUUACAUAUUGAUAGAGGCACAUAAUAUAACAAUAUAAUUCAACCAGCAUCAUUCUCCAGUAUUUCCCCCUUUUCUCCCUUCCUCCUGCCCUCUGGUCCCUAUUUUCUACUCUACCGAUCUACCUUUAUUUUCCAGUUUCCUCUUUAGCUUCCACAUAUAAGAGAAAACAUGACCCUUGGUUUUCUGGGUUUGACUUAUUUUUAUUAACACAAUGUUUUCAAAUUCCAUUCAUUUUCCUGCAAAAGACAUAAUUUCAUUCUUUUUUAUGGCUGAGUAAAACUCAAUUUUUUUACGUAUACCACAUAUUCUUUAUUCAUUCAUCCAUUGAUAGACUCUUCAGCUGGUUCCAUACUUUGGCUAUUGUGAAUUAUGCUACUAUAAACAUGGGUAUGUAUAUAUUGCUGUAGUAUGAAGACUUUCAUUCUUUUUUUUUUAGUUGUAGUUGGAAACAAUACCUUUAUUUUAUUUAUUUUUAUAUGGUGCUGAGGAUUGUACCCAGCACCUCAUAUGUGCUAGAUGAGGGCUCUACUGCUGAGCCACAACCCCAGCCCUAAGACUUCCAUUUUUUUGGAUAAAUAACAAGUAGUGGUAUAGCUGGGUCAUGAUGGUUCCAUUCCUAGUCUCUUGAGGAGCCUCGUAGUGAUUUCCAUACUGGUUGUACUAAUUUACAAUCCUACCAACAGUAUAAAAGUGUUGCUUUUUCUCUAUAUCCUCUCCAAAAUUUAUUAUUGUUUCUAUUAUUGAUGGCUAUCAUUCUGACUGGGAUGAGAUGAAGUCUUAGUGUAGUUGUGAUUUACAUUUUCUUAAUUACUAAAGAUUUUGGAUAGUUUUUCAUGUAUUUGUUACUCAUUUGAAUUUCUUCUUUUGAGAAGUAUCUGUUCAAUUCAUUUGCCCAUUUAUUAAUUGGGUUAUUGGUUUUUUGGUGUUAAGUUUUUUUGAGCUCUUUUUAAUAUUCUUGUUUAUCUUUUCAAAGGACCAACUCUUCAUUUUAUUGAUCUUUUUUUUUUCUUCAAAAUUUUCUAUUUUGUCAAUUUUGACUCUGAUCUCAAUUAUUUCUUUCCUUCCGGGGCCUUGAGAUGCAUAAUUAGGUUGUUUAUUUGAGAUAUUUUGAUUUUCUUUUGUAGGCAGUCAUAGCUUUAAAUUUACCUCUUAGAAAUACCUUCAUAAAAUCCCAAAGGUUCUGGUAUGUUGUAUCAUUAUUCUUGUUUGAUUCAAAGAAUUUUAAAAUUUCUUCUCUGAUUUCUUCCAUCAUCCAUUUAUGAUUUAAAAGUGUAUUGUUGGGGCUGGAGUUUGGGACAGUGGUAGAGCACUUGCCUAGCAUGUGUGAGACACUGGGUUUGAUUCUCAGCCCACAUAUAAAUAAACAAAAUAAAGGUCCAUUGACAACUUAAAAAAAAAGUGUUAUUGUUCAAUCUCUAUGUGCUUGUACAGUUUUUGUAGAGUGUCUUUGGUGUUGGUUUCUAAUUUCAUUCUAUUAUGACCUGAUAAGAUGCAAGGAUCAUGUUUUUUGUAUUUGCUAAUAGUUGCUUUGUCUAAAAAAAAUGGUCUGUUUUGAGAAGGUUUCAUUCGAUACUGAGAAGAAAAUGUAUUCACUGUUGUUGGGUGAAAUAUUCUAUAGAUGUCUGUUAAAUUCAUCUGAUUUAUGAUUUUUUUUUCAUAUUCAAAGAGUCUUUACUGAGUUUGUCUUGAUAAUGUAUCUAUUGGUGAGAAAGGUGUGUUGAAAUCAAUUAUUGUACUGAAGUCUUCAUUUCCAGUAGUGUCUGUUUUAUGUAAUUAAGUGCACCAAUAUUUGGGGCAUAAAUAUUUACUAUCAUUGUAUCUUCAUUUUGGAUUGUUCCCUUUACCAGUAUGAAGUGAACUUCUUUGUCUCUUUUGAUUGCUUUUGGCUUGAAUUCUGCUUUGUUGAAUGUGAGAGUAGCCACUCCUGUUUGUUUUCAAACUCUAUUUGCAUAGCUGCCAGUUUCCCUGCUUUCACUUUCAGCCUGUGAUUGUCUUUGCCCAUAAGGAGGCGAGUCUCUUGCAAACAAUACAUAGUUGGGUCUUUUAAAAUUAUUUAUUUAUUUAUUUAUUUUUGAUACUAGGGAUUGAACCCAGGUAUUCUUAACCACUGAGCUACAUCUUUAGCCCUUUUUAUCUUUUAUUUUGAGACAGAGUCGUGCUAAGUUGCUUAGGGCCUUGAUAAAUUGCUGAGGCUGCUCUUGAACUUGCGAUUCUCCUGCCUCAGCCUCCCUGGUCACUGGGAUUACAAGUAUGCACCAUUGUGCGCAGCAAGGGUCUUAUAUUUUAAUCCAUUUGCCAGACUGUGUCUUUUAACUGGAGAGGGGAGACCAUACACAUUCAAUAUUAUUGUAGGGAGAUGUUUAUUAAUUCUUGCCAUUUCGAUUUAGUCCUAGUGUUUAAUUCAGUCCUGUUUCACAUUUCCUUGGCUAUCUUCAAAGGAGAUUUGCUCAUUUGUGAGCUCGGGGGUUUGUUUUUGAUUUCUUCUGUAGGAAGUCUUUCUUUAAGUAUUUUUUUUCUAGUUCUGGCUUAGAAGUUAUGAACUCUUUCAAUGUCUGCUUGUCUUGUAAGGUUGUUUUGUUUUUGUUUUUCUCCUUCAAGGAUAGUUUUGUUGGAAAUAGUAAUUUUGGUUGAUAGUUAUUUUCUUUCAGGACUUGUAAUACAUCAUUCCCAGGCUGCCUGGAUUUUAGAGUUUAUGCUGAGAAAUUAGAAGUAAUUUUCAUCAGCUUGUUUCUAAAUGUCAUCUGAUGUUUUUUAUCUUGAGACUUUUAAAAUUCUAUCCUCAUUCUGUAUGUUAGGUAUUUUAAUCAUAAUGUUUUGUGGAGAGGUUCUUUUUUGAUCUUGUUUAUCUGGGGUUCUGAAUGCAUCCUGUAUCUCGAUAUCCAUCUCAUGCUCAACGUUUGAAAAAUUUUAUGCUGUUAUUUUCCUGAAGAGGUUAUCUAUGCCAUUAGCUUCCCAACCUUUUUUGAUUCUAAUGAUUCUUAAAUUUGGGAUCUUAAUUUUGUCCCAGAAUUCUUGUAUAUUCUGGUUAUGGUUACUCAUUGUCUUUUAUUUAAUAGUAUCUAAAUGUUCAAGGCUGGCCAAUUUGUCUUUGGCUCUGAGAUUUUAUCUUCAGCAUGGCUUACUCUGUUAAAGAGAUUUUAAGGUGAUUUGAUUUACUGUGUCUUUCAUUUCUAAGAUUUAUGUUUGGUUCUUUUUCAAUAUCUCUAACUUUUUAUUGAAUUUCUCAUUCAUAUCCUAUACUGACUUCCUUAAAUCAUUCAUUUGUUUUUCUGUGUUCUCUUGGAAUUAUCAUUUUUAUAAUCAUUCUUUUGAAUUCUUCAUCUGAUAUUUCAUCUGCUUUGAUCUCUUUGGAGAGUUUCUGGUAAAUUAUUAACUUCAGGAGGCAACACAUUAAAGGUAAUGAGAUGGUUAUGAAAUGUGAAAAAAUAAGUUUUUAAAAAAACUUAUUUUAAAAAUUUACUUUAAAAAAUCUUUCUUGUAUUCACAUAUUGUGUUUUAUGCAUCUGUUGGAAUGGAUUUCUUCUUAAUUCUUAUCUUUUGCCUUUUUAGGGCAAAAUCUUUUCUUGCCAGAGUGUUUUGGGAUAUCAGGAUGUUAGGAAUUUGUCUAUAUAUUUCCAUGUGGGUUUUAUAAUAUAGUUUCCAUGCUAGUUCUUUGGUAAUGAUUACUGUAUUUUGAUAGUGUGUAUUUUAUCAUGAUGAGCUUGAGAAUCCCACUUUUCCUAAGUCUCAGAUGAGUGGGAUCCUUCUUAUAGGUCUGGAAAUCGUGUUGCAUACAACAAAUGCAGCAUAUAUGGGGAGCAGUCUCUGUGUUUGAUCUUCCUUACUCAACUCUGUAUAUUCUAAAGUGAUGUAGACUGAGACUUUUCUCAGGUUUAGAGUCCACAGCCUUUUAUUAAUUUUCUAUUUUUGCUGUAGGAGUGGAUGUCCAUGAGUGGGACCUGAGGGGCCCCCUAGCCAUUCCUACUUGGGGCCUAAUUAUUAGUUUGGGAUUUUUUGUCUCUUUUAUUCUUUAUAUUAAGUAUCAUUGAAGUCUGAGUGUGGUUAGUUUGUGUGUAGGGCAAGGUGCUGGGUUUAGUUCAGCAGCAGAAUCUCUAUCCUGUGACUUUUAGUGUCAUAGUUGGUUCCCAGAACCUCACAGAAAAGUGGGAAAAAACAGCAACAAAGAGCAAACAAAAUACAGCCUUAAAAUAAAUAUCCAGUGUUUAUUAUGACAUAUAUAACACUAAUUACCACAAAAACAGGAGUAGGGGGUCAGUAAUUGUCAACAGCAAAGCAGUAAAUAGCUUUAUGGCUGUGAACUGUAUCUGGCAUUAGAGUAAACAGCAGGUGACAACUACACCACCCACAGUACUAAUAACUACAAUAUGAAUGGUGGGGAAAACAGUUAUAUAACCCAAAUAGUUCUAAAAGAUAGUAAAAAUGCAGUUCAUUAAAUAAAAUGAUAGGAAGGAAAUAGGAGGUUUAAAAUGUUCAAAAUGUGAACAGAUAGAAAUCAGAGGUGAACGAGCAAGUGAUGGUUAUAAAGAAGGAGGAGAAAAAAGGAACAAACUACAUAAAGAGAAAAAGAGAAUUUGGCUCUUAGAGGGAAAAGAAAGGAGAGAAAGAGAAACAAACAGAAAUAAAACAAAACCGAAUUAAGUAAACAAAACCCAACCCUCAAAAGACAAGGCAAAUAGCAAAUCAUUAAAAAAAUGAGAAAAAAAUAAAAAUAUAUGUAUAUAUAUCCAUGAACCAAUUAGCAUUGCAAGCGAAAAAAAGAGGAAAAAAGAUUACUAAAGAAAAAUUGUAAGAGUUGUCUCCUUUGGGGUCGAAAAUGUUGAUGAGAGUGGGUGAUCACCAUCUAUGUCUGAUUGUUCUUUCAGUUUCUUCUUGGAUUGUGUACCCUUUAGAGAGAGCAGGGGCUGGAGCUUGUUAACUCCUUCCCCUUCUUCUUUUUGUGUUACUUACUGAUCUGCUAAUUGGAGUAACCUAAAAUUGAAGGAGGUCCAAAUAGUUUCCAUCUUCUCUUUUCACCAAUAUAAGGUAGGAUGGAAUGGGAAGUACUGUCAACUGGAGUUUUGUAUGGAAAGAUCAAUACACUCCUAGGAUGGGGCUGCUACAGAGUUCUAAGUGGGGAGUUCCAGUGGCUCGAUCUUGGGUCUAAUCAGGACUUUGGGACUGAUUAAUACACUCUAGGGUCAGGCAAGUGCUAAUCUCUCAUGGGAGUCUGGAUCUAAGGAGCCUCCUGAGAAUUCUCCUGCAACUGCACAUGAAUAUGGCCUUCCAAGACAUCGCCCCUGUUGUGUAAUUGUCAAUAGCAAUUGCCAAUUACUAUGCUCAAGCUCAGUUUCCUGACCCUCUUCAGCCACCAGACUGAAAGGGAAAGUGAGAUGCACUCCCCUUUGUAUCUCUAACUUUUGCAACCCCUUGGAUACAAUAUUCUUUGUGCCUGUUGCAUUGUGUUCUUCUAGAUACACCCUUGGACACAUGGUAGAUACUUGCCAGGGUAGUAUGGCCAUAUUUGCCAUGAUCUCCUAGGUUCCUGCAGCAGCAAACUGAAGCAUGGCCUCCUUAAGAUGGCUCAGCUCUCUACUUGCUAGUUGAGAAACUGAGUGUUUUUGAAACACCAAUUUAUGGUACAGCCUCUGGAUCAGCUAAGUUCAGGCUGCCUUUCUGUUCUAUAGAUUUUUCCAUGCCAAAUUUGUCUAUUGUGUUUCUUUCUCUCUCUGUGUUAUCAUCCCUCUCCCUUGUGCUGAACUGGCAUCCUGACCAUUGCCACAAUCUGCUUGGCUCCAAUAUAGUCUCCCUUGUUGUUCAUUCAAUGCACCCAAAUUUCAGAGUCUGUAAGAAACUCUGAUUGUCUGAUACUGAAUUUCAGUGAAUUCCAUCUUUCACCCACCUUGCUGAGAAGCAGUACCCCUGCCCCUUGAAUUCUGAGGGUGACUGGAAAUGUAGCCUUCCUCUAAUCUGCUAUAUUGAAAACUGGAUCUGAGCAUUCCUCAGCUAGAAAGCAGAGACAGUAUCUUGAUAAACUGCCUAGGCUGUCCUUGAACUUGCAACUCUCUUGCCUCGACCUCUCAUGUAGCUGGGAUUAUAGGCAUACACUACCACACCUGGCUCAAAUGAGACAUUUUUUUGUGCAUUCUGAUUGAAUAGAGAAAGGGAAGAGUCAAGAAGUACUUAUUGAUUCCCUGUUUGCAUAGAAACAACAUGCAUAUAUUUGUCCAGCUUGUCCAUUUUGGACACUGAAAUUCUAAGAAAUAAAAAGAGCGUUAUAGAUGUAGAGAGACUAGAUGAAUCUGAGAGAACAUGCCCAUAAUGUUGGGUAUAAUUUAUUCAUUUUCAUAAGUGUUCCCUAAAUAGAGAUCUGAGAAGAAAAAAAAUAAUAUAAUUUUCUGGAAACACUGACCUCUAGGACCUGGAGAAAGUCCAUUCAGCCAGCCCAAGCCCUCCCUAUUCCCCUGGGCUGUAGCCUCAGAUUCCUCAGAGACAACAUCUGCAAGCAUAGUGCAAAUCAUUAGCCAGUCUGCCACUUCCCACUGUUCAGCCACCUUAUGAAUGCUAUUUUUAGGAUGUCUGAAUUUCUCAGCAGAGACACAGCACUAUUAACAAGUCCUGAGAAGUCAGCCUUGUUUCCCCAAUGUCUGAGGCAGCACUCAGAGAUAAGCACUCCACCUUCAUUCUGCUCUGCUGAAAUUAAAAUGCUUCUCUUUCUGCAUCUUGAUGGGAGGAUGAGGAAGAAAUGUUGUUCACUUCUUCAGAGACUUUAGAAAUGGAACUAAAAGAUGGAGAUGUUAUUCACUCACCCCCACCCUCCAUCACAAGAACUGAACCAUGAUUUCCGGGCAAUGCUUCUCCCACCAAUUCACAUCAUCUAGUGGAAACUCAUCUGAAGCCAUGGUUUAAUGAUAAGGAGCAAAAAAGUCAGUCAAACGAUUCAUCACCUUUACAAAGAUCAUGAUCUCAGAGCUGGAGGAAGUGACUUUGAGUCCUUUUUUCCUACUCACUAUGUCUUUGUGUUCAUAAAAUGGAUAAUAAUAAUGGCUUCUAUGCUGGGUUUUCACAAGAGAUGUGUGAUUUGCAAAGUGCCUGCUCAAUGCUAGUAAAUCUACAACUGCUAUAACUUCUGUUUUCCGAGGCAAGUUCCUCCUGUUUAAUGAAUGCUUAUGUUCUAGGGCCACUUCCUCUCAUCUCCUUAGAUAAUCUUCUAUCUCUUUGUCUAAAGUCUUUCUCUCUGUUUGUUCCAUUACUGAGUACAAGUAUUUGGUUACAUCUCUCUUGCCUCAGUCCUCUCUCUUGAUGUCACAUCUCUCCGUGGCUCUGCUGUUUCCCAACCCCACCUUUGGGAUCCACCUUUCUGCAGAGCACCAGUGUGUCAACAUUGUACUCUGGGUCACAUGGAGCUUGGUGGUAAAGACUGUCUCUGGUGGCAGGGCCUGUAGUUUCCUGGGCAUUACCAGUGCCUAGGGUUGGUAGGUAAUUCUGCUGAAUUUUUUUUUUUGGAGGGGGGGGACACUUGUGGCCACAGUCUUAGCUACAUUCUCUAGUAGUUUUCUCUCAGGGAUAUUUUCAUGUCCAUCAGCCUGACUCCUUUGUCUUUCUUAGUCUCUUUUAUUUGAUUUAGAACUGAACUAGCAAGGAGAAGGCAGUAAUUUAUUAGCCUCCAACAAUGGAAAAAUGCCAAGAUUUAAAAGACAGGUGGGAAAGAGCAGUCUGCAAUCUGACCUGAGUUCAUGGAUUUAUUGUAAUCCUGACCAGGAGACCUGUGAGGGCUUCUGCCUACAUUCCCCCUCCCCUUUCCAUACUCCCACUGAACUGCUAUGAAGUCUCAGAAAUCCCACUGGACAUGGUGGCUCAGGACCCUGAUAUCAAUCAUUUGGAGUUGAUAUAUAAUAUAAACCUAUUUGAAAUACUGGAUCUAGUAUUCUGAUGCCUCCUAAAUCUGUAACAGCAGCACACAUCUGUGUACUCACCCCUACUGUGAGGCUUCUUCACUGAGCUCAGUAGAUAGAGAGCAUUGUGUAGAAAACCCUUCAUGGUUGGCCCCUGACUACCUGUCAUCUCUGUGCCUUUCCUCAGUGUCCUUUCUGUUCCAGCCACACUGAGCUCUUUGUGGGUCCCUAAGCAAGCCAUGCACUGUUAGGCUUUUGUUAGUGGUACACACUUUGCCUGGAAGGAAAGUUCCUUUCUUGCCCUGGCUGGACUGGCUAGUUCUGUUUAUCCUUCAAAUCACAGCAACCCUGCCCUGAGAUGCUUCUCCUGGUACAUUAGAGCCUUGUUUAUCAGUGUUUCUUCCAGACUUGAGUUCCUUGGGGACAAGGGGAAUGCCUUGAUCUCCCCUGGAAACCCUCUGUGCCAAAGAAACCAAAUACAGGUAAGUUGACUUUCCUUAUUCAGUCCAUUUUCAGGUACAAUGGUAGGCAUUCCUAUUCUUGUUUUCUCUGCUUAAAACUCAUCUAAAAAAUUCUAAUUUUUCUAGAAGAGCCUUAUAAAAAUUUGACCUAACAAAAAUCUUGCACAAUGAACAACAGCAUGAGAAAUCAGGCUAGAUUAGGUUCUUGAAGGGUAUGAGAUUUCCCUGUGUUUCCAAUGUCAAUUCUGGGUCCUCAGUGAGGAGAAUGAUGGGCUAGUUUCUAGUCACUCCAACUCUCAGCAGCCUGUAAUGUCAUGGGAGCUACAUUUUAUGUAAACAAAUUAGUCUGGAACUUUUUUUCAAGACAACAUAUAAAACACAUUAUAUGCACAGUGGUGCUAGGGUAUGUUUCUGGGUGUAGAUACUAGAUUUGUCUGGACUUUGCUUGAGACCUUAACCUCCUUAUUCUUGUUCUUUACUGUUAGGAUUGGACAUCUUGUAACAUGUCAGCUUCAUCUUUAUCUCUCCCUCCCAAGUUUUUUUUUUCAAUUAAUUAAUUUAUUUUAAUUAAGUAUAUAUGACAGCAGAAUGCAUUUUGAUUCAGUGUACACCUCCCCAAUUUCUUUGUUUUCCUCCAAUGUUGUUUGAAAACAUACAAUCUUACAUUUUCUCAGUUGUACAUGUGAGAAAUUGUGUGUGUGUGUGUGUGUGUGUAUGUGUAUGUGUAUUAAGGUGCUGAAGGAUAGUAACAGGGAGAAAGAAAAAUACUGCUUUUUCUAAAACUUAAGUGGAAAAUAAAGCAUUAAAAAUUUAGGAUGCUUUUAGCUUUGCACUAUAUCUGGCACAGCAAAUUCUUAAUAAAAUUUAGCCAUAAUUGUUAUUAUAAUGAUUAAUAUUCUUAUUAGCAGUGAUAGGAUCCAAUGCUUAAAAGCGUGUUGUAUUUAUACCACUGCCAAAGAAAGUGAGGGAAGUAUAAUCUCCUGGCUCUACAUUCCUCAUAGGAUGUAAAGAUUGUAUAUAUCCGUUGGAGUUCACCCAAGCUACUUUUGGGACAAACAGGAUAAUGUGUUUGGAACAGAGAUCAACAGCUGUUACUCCUCUGUGACAUUCCGGAGAUGUGGACAGAUGUAUUCAGAUUGACCUUCCUUAGUCAGUGAGUGUGGGAACUGGUGGAAAGGGGUAGGGGGAGGGAGACACAGCAACAGGGAGGAUGAGAAGGUUCCCAUGGGGGUCAGUAACAUGAGAGACCAUUGAAAGCAACAUUGAACUAUUUCUAUUUCCUGGAGGUGCUGUGCUAAACAACAUGUUAGGGGAUGAAGGCCCUUAACAUUAUUCCAAAAGGAGGAAAACCAAACAUGGUCAUUUUCCCAAGGCUAGGACAGAUCUGCAAUCCCUGAAGGGGUCAGAGGUUGCCUCCUACCAUUUCAGUGAUUGCACAGUCGGAAAUAGAAGAGGGUCAAAUCAGGUUCAAUAUAAGAUGUAGAGUGAAAUACAUUCCUUACCUUGCCCUCCCAACCCCAGUCAUAUUUAAUUACCAUUCCUGUUUCUAGAAAAUAUCCAAGCACCCUAGUGGUUUCAGAAAAUUAAAAAACCAGCCAGACACAGAGCCCUUGGUAACUCUGUGUCAUACUAGCAUCAAGGCAGGUGGCUGGUCUUCAUUGAGACUAAAAGAAUAGAGUUCAGUGAAACCAUUAGAUUUUCAUAAAAAUAGGAUUUUGAGAACAGUAGGUUUUCCUAACAGCAAUCUCUGUAGGUCCUAAGACUUUUAAGUUUACCCAUCAUAACAGCUUAGCUGGAGUCUGAUUUGUAGUACUCUUUCUCCAUCUGUAACGAUGGCUGUCUCCUUCUGCUUUCUUUCAGGUUAUCAAGUGAAUGAAUCCUUCUUCAUGGAACCAUCCUAGAGCUCAGACCAACAUUUCCUGGGUUCCCAGAGUGUCCCUCUUGCUGACAGGACACUAAUUCCUAGUCUGGCCAGGAUUAAUUAUUUCAAGAUAAUAUAAAAACUAUGCAAGUUUUGCUUCUUCUCUACUGGGUCCAUAGGGUAGUAAUGAGAACCACAUUUUCCCAUGUAAAGGAAGAUUUCACAAGCACAUAUAGAAUUCUAGCGGUAUCUUUAUGAAGUUGGUGGCUGAAGGUCAGAUGUGCCCAGAAAAAAGAUUUGUUCUCUUUAGAAACCUUGCUCUUAACUACUGCACUAUGAUUGCAUAUUAAGCUUUUGUUUGAUAAGGACUGUGUGUACCUCUCCCAUGACUCUUGAAAUUAGAUUUCAAUUUUUCAAGUCAGUUGGGCUUAGAUCUGUAUUUUGCUACUACCAUGAGCCUCCAGUGCAACAGUAUUGGGAUAUGGGGCUUAAUGGGAGGUUCCAUCUGCAUGAAUGGUUUAUAAAAGGGCUGAUUAUAAAAGGCCCAUGAUUUCAGUCUUUCUCUCUUUUGUCCUCUCUUUGUCCUGUCUUUGAUACAGCAAGAAGGUCCUUGCUAGGUGUUAACCCCUUCAUAUUGAACUUCCCAGGCUCCAGAACCAUAAAGUGAUAAAUGUUUACAUUACCCAGUCUGUGGUAUUCUAUUGUAACCUCACAACACAGACUAAGAGAACUGCUUAGUGUGUGCCAUUGUGGGCAAGUUGCUUAACCUGGUUUAGCUUUUGUUUCCUUAUCUAUAAAAUGGAGAUAAUUACAGUCUGAAGCUCGUAGGGGUGUAGUGAGGAUUAAAUGAGAUAAAAUCUGCAUGACAUUUAGCACACUAUCUGGCAGCUCCAAGCUUCUAAUAAACUUUAGCUACUGCUUUAUAACUUGGAGUGAUAGAGCUCCUUCUCUAAGUGGUCCAAAGGUCUGUAGGUGAUUAUUUUAAGCUACUUUUCACAAUAUUUUUCAUGUAAUCCUUGAUGAAAUAUUAUAGAUUGUUCCUGCAAAUACAUCUGUUUUGUAAUACUUAUUUACUCAGUGGAAUUAGUUCAUUAGUAUCAAAGGUUUUUUUUCCCUUUAUUUCUUUUAAAGUUCAGCAUAAUUUUCUUUUAAAGGCUUUGGUUCUGCUAGUUUGAGACAAUAUGCAUAACUUUCUUAACUUCAUUUUUGUCUAUUUUUUGAAUAAGUUUUAAAAAAAUACUAACAGCUGGAAUAAUACUACAAAACCCAAAGAGAGACUCUCAGGCUUUAUGACUUUCCCACAAUUGCUAUGUGAGCACUAGAAUCUCUGUAAGGCAGAGCUGUGGGGAAAAUUAGAAAUGAAAAUGAAAAGCAAGCUUCUAGCUGGGAUUUAGGUCAAAGCAGAUAUUAUCCUGGCCGGCUUGCUCUAUGUGAAUAGCUAGGGCUUCUUGCUCACAACUUAAAGCUUGACAACUGUAAUUUUUGAAGGCUCUUGGGUGAUAGUUUUACUGGUAGUGUAUUACUGAAGAACUAUGCAUCCAAAGGAACACUAUGGUAAUUUCUAAGCCAGGGUUUUCAUGAUUCUCAUACUGUAAAGUAAAAUAAACCCCAUAAAUAUGUAGUACAUAUAUUCAAUGAUCUUUUCUGAUUGAUCCAACAAACAUUUAUUCAGCUCCUAAAAGAAGUAUGAAAUGGAGAUUCAUUAAAUCUCAAGGGUGGGGGAGAUUGUCACUAUGUGAAGUGUGAACAAUAUAUUGAGUGAGAUGUUUCCACCUGUAUUUGACAUAAGAGGAACUGAAGCUAUGGCUUUCUGAGAGCAUAUAGCUUAGAAAGUGGCCCUACUAGGAGUUAGACCCGAAAGUUGUGCGACUUCAACUCCUGUGCUUUUUAGCCACUGGAAGUCAAAGUCAGUUAUCUCUCUUCUUCUGCAGUCAGAGUGAUAAGUUGAAUCUGGGUAUGUAUUCUGUGUAGGAAGCAUCCCUAUCUCUCAAGGACCAUUUGGGACUCACAGGGGGCCUAGGAGAGAGGAGAGACAAAUGCUGAGUGGCUAGGAGUGACUCUGGGCUUGACUGUAAGAGAAAUGAGUUGUGAAGGAAGUGGGUCUUUGAGUCUCCUACACGGUUGAGCACAACUCAGCUAGGGAGCAGACAGGAAUACAGGCUGAAGUCCUAGCUGGUGACAAGGUGAAUUUUAUGCUGGGUUAUUAUGCUAGUAUCUUAUCCUUAGAAAGCUAACCAGGGAAAGAUUAUCCUGUUAAGAGUAACAAAGAGAGAAAUCCACAAUUGCAGCCAUGGGUAAAGAGAGCCAUGGUGGAGUGUUUCAUUCCUUCAGAAAAUGUCUUACACCUGGACACAGGAAUACAGCUGUGAAUGGGAGAGCCAUGGAUUUCAUACUUUUGUCUAAGGUCUUAGGGGGACACAGACAUCUAAUAAAUAACAGGAUGAUAUGACAUUCUUCCACUUUAUGAAAUAGGUGUGAUAAAAAUUAGAACAGGAGAACAUGGUUUAGAGUGGUUGGAAGGAGGGACAGUGUGUGUGUGUGCGUGUGUGUGUGGGGGGUCAUGGUGGCUGUAGAAUGCAUUCCUGAGGAGGUCCUAUUUACUCUGACCCAGGAAGGAUGAGUGUUAUUUAGUCAGACAGAUUGGUGAGAAGCAUCCUAGCCAGAGAGAAAGUGGUAAAAGCUCUGAAAUUCAUUUUUACCCCUCAGUGUCCACACCCAGACUUAGUUCCCAUUAGGUACAUAAGAGCAUAUGGAAUUAAGUCUCCUGUAUUGUAUUUUCUCCAACAAGCCAUGUGGUUGGGACUUCAGUACACUUGUUGUUGAUGGCUUAAGGUGGCUUGUUUCAUCAUGACACAUAUGUCCUUGAGUUUCAAGAAUAAGUGUGGACUUAGUGAAUCUGGAAUCAGUCCAGAAAAAUACAGUUUCAGAGUUUAACUAUGCCUUCCCUGUGUCAUUUGGGCCAUUCUCUCUUUACCUAAGUGUCUCAGAAGACACUGUGUUAGAUGUUUUAUAAACUAAUGCUGCCUGUGGUUUGCCUUACCUUUUUGUCCAGAAGAAAUCUUUAAUACUGGACCAGGGCUGACUGUCAAGAGGCAUUAUCGUGCUUCACUUAUAGCAUACCAAUUCCAGUUAGAAAUUUCUACGUUCUAAUAUUGGCUCCACUGCUUCCUGAGAUACUUUAACCCUCAUUAUGGGUCAGUCUUCCCUUCCUUGAUGUGGGGAUAAUAAUAGUUUCUUUCUCACAGGUUGUGUGAAUAUUAAAUGAUAUCAGGAAUGUGAAGUGGUACAUCAAUGUUAUUAUUUUGGUGCAUAAAUUGGUACAUAAAGUAUUAUAACUGUUAUAACUGUAGUAGGGUUUCCCUAUGUAUUGAUGGGUUUAAGGUUCCUAUUUCAUCUCUGUCAUUUCUACC